RNAcentral lists this ribosomal RNA (253 nucleotides) under uncultured bacterium. RNAcentral describes it as "partial 16S ribosomal RNA". It matches the Rfam family "Bacterial small subunit ribosomal RNA", at positions 524 to 776 of the family's 1533-position model. The record is from RNAcentral.
UACGUAGGGGGCUAGCGUUGUCCGGAUUUAUUGGGCGUAAAGAGCGUGUAGGCGGCCAGGUAGGUCUGCUGUGAAAACUCGAGGCUUAACCUCGAGAUGUCGGCGGAAACCAUCUGGCUAGAGUCCGGAAGAGGAGAGUGGAAUUCCUGGUGUAGCGGUGAAAUGCGCAGAUAUCAGGAAGAACACCGAUGGCGAAGGCAGGUCUCUGGGCCACUACUGACGCUGAGAAGCGAAAGCAUGGGGAGCGAACAGG